GCCCUGCUUGCCCCAGAAGAAGGCCAAGAUAGAAGAUAGGGCUUGUGGGAGGAUCCUGAACCCUUCCCUUCCUCACUGACUCUGGAGCUCAGCAUGAAGCCUCUAGAUCAGCACAGCCAUCAAACUCAUUCUCAUGUUGUGUAAAAUGACAGCUGUAAUCACAGAUGAAUGAUAUGGAUCACUCUAGAGAGGAAAAUCUGCUUGGAGGAUGAGUCAUUUAAAACAUCUUGUGAGGUUGCUUUGAGCUUUAUCUCCCAUGCGAAGAACAGCCAUAUGAUUUAAAGAGCUUCUCAAUCCAAUCAUUAGUAUUGAUUUUAAAUGGGCAUUACUACUAAUAAUAAUAAAUAUGACUUUUGAAAUA
Molecule: long non-coding RNA, 361 nt
Organism: Canis lupus familiaris (dog)
Lineage: Eukaryota; Metazoa; Chordata; Mammalia; Carnivora; Canidae
Exons: 2
Source: RefSeq, a predicted model, not a curated record